This 497-nucleotide ribosomal RNA is filed under the name uncultured bacterium. RNAcentral describes it as "partial 16S ribosomal RNA". It matches the Rfam family "Bacterial small subunit ribosomal RNA", at positions 28 to 507 of the family's 1533-position model. The record is from RNAcentral.
GACGAACGCUGGCGGCGUGCCUAAUACAUGCAAGUUGAGCGAUGAAGAUUGGUGCUUGCACCAAUUUGAAGAGCAGCGAACGGGUGAGUAACGCGUGGGGAAUCUGCCUUUGAGCGGGGGACAACAUUUGGAAACGAAUGCUAAUACCGCAUAACAACUUUAAACAUAAGUUUUAAGUUUGAAAGAUGCAAUUGCAUCACUCAAAGAUGAUCCCGCGUUGUAUUAGCUAGUUGGUGAGGUAAAGGCUCACCAAGGCGAUGAUACAUAGCCGACCUGAGAGGGUGAUAGGCCACAUUGGGACUGAGACACGGCCCAAACUCCUACGGGAGGCAGCAGUAGGGAAUCUUCGGCAAUGGACGAAAGUCUGACCGAGCAACGCCGCGUGAGUGAAGAAGGGUUUCGGAUCGUAAAACUCUGUUGGUAGAGAAGAACGUUGGUGAGAGUGGAAAGCUCAUCAAGUGACGGUAACUACCCAGAAAGGGACGGCUAACUACGUG